This 720-nucleotide ribosomal RNA is filed under the name uncultured bacterium. Its description in RNAcentral is "bacterial SSU rRNA". It matches the Rfam family "Bacterial small subunit ribosomal RNA", at positions 8 to 738 of the family's 1533-position model. The record is from RNAcentral.
AGAGUUUGAUCCUGGCUCAGGAUGAACGCUGGCGGCGUGCUUAACACAUGCAAGUCGAACGAUGAUCCGGUGCUUGCACCGGGGAUUAGUGGCGAACGGGUGAGUAACACGUGAGUAACCUGCCCUUAACUCUGGGAUAAGCCUGGGAAACUGGGUCUAAUACCGGAUAUGACUCCUCAUCGCAUGGUGGGGGGUGGAAAGCUUUAUUGUGGUUUUGGAUGGACUCGCGGCCUAUCAGCUUGUUGGUGAGGUAAUGGCUCACCAAGGCGACGACGGGUAGCCGGCCUGAGAGGGUGACCGGCCACACUGGGACUGAGACACGGCCCAGNACUCCUACGGGAGGCAGCAGUGGGGAAUAUUGCACAAUGGGCGCAAGCCUGAUGCAGCGACGCCGCGUGAGGGAUGACGGCCUUCGGGUUGUAAACCUCUUUCAGUAGGGAAGAAGCGAAAGUGACGGUACCUGCAGAAGAAGCGCCGGCUAACUACGUGCCAGCAGCCGCGGUAAUACGUAGGGCGCAAGCGUUAUCCGGAAUUAUUGGGCGUAAAGAGCUCGUAGGCGGUUUGUCGCGUCUGCCGUGAAAGUCCGGGGCUCAACUCCGGAUCUGCGGUGGGUACGGGCAGACUANAGUGAUGUAGGGGAGACUGGAAUUCCUGGUGUAGCGGUGAAAUGCGCANAUAUCAGGAGGAACACCGAUGGCGAAGGCAGGUCUCUGGGCAUUA